GAGGGGGGAAAGGGUGUGGCCACUGGGGCAGGCUGCUCUGGGGCCAGGCUGGGACAGGAGGGUGACAUCUCAGAGGACCCCUCCAGAGUCCGUUCCUGCCAUGCGUCUCCUGUGCACUGUGGUCCUGGCUGUCCUGGGGGCAGGGCACAUGGAUGCUGCCGUCACCCAGACCCCGAGGCACCAGAUCACAAGGACAGGAGGGAAUGUGACUCUGCAGUGUGCCCAGGACAUGAACCACUACUCCAUGUACUGGUACCGACAAGACCCGGGACUGGGCCUGCGGCUGAUCCACUACUCUACCAAUGUAGAUGAUACCAAGAAAGGUGACAUCCCAGAUGGGUACAAUGUCUCCAGAUCAAAAAAGGAGCACUUCCCACUCACGGUGAAGUCGGCAGUCCCCUCACAGACAGCUGUGUACUUCUGUGCCAGCAGUGCCUCCACAGUACUGCACGGCCAUCUCAGCCCUGCACAAAAAGGGCUCAGGAGGCCCUCAAAGCCUACUCAGCCUGGGGACCUCCGAGUUGGGGCGUCAGGUUCAGGGAUAUCUGUACCUGCUGAGGUCCACCUCCAGGCCCCUCUCAGCCGGCCAGGACCUAGUGAUGGGAAAUGCACAGAGCUGCAGUGUGUCCUGUCCCUGAGCCUCUCACCUGGCUCCCAAAUGCUAGGCCUUCUCCAACCCUGCUCCCACGCUUCCCCUGAGGGAAAGGGAGUUUGUAACUAUACUAUCCAGUUAAUGAAAGUGGACAUAUUUUAGUCACCAUGGAACACCAGUGCGUUCUCCUAGCAGUGAAAUGAGGAGUUGAACCCCGUGUAACAGCCCCACGAGUUCUGGAAGCACAGGGAGACACUCUAGAGCAUAUUACACACUGGUGUUUCUGGAUGAUGAGGCUGAGUUUCCUUCCAUAAAGAGGAUGAGAGGAGCCCUUUCUGUGGCACGGAGACUUGAGUGGCAGGGCUUUGCUGUGGGCCAUGGAGACAGAGUCCUUCAUAGAGAUGAGAGAACACAGGUGAUGUAGGUCUUUGACCAGAAGAAGGAAUAGGAGCUCCAGACUCAGACACUGGCCCAGGCAUCACUUCCUCUCCUGUGUCCCUGGAUAUGCCAGUGACUUCAAACUCGUCCUGGCCCAGCCGAGUCAGGCCCCAGCACCCGCUUUACCUAAGGAUGGAGAUUCUGAGCAGUGUGGCCAGGAGGGUGGAGGUGCUGUGGCAGACACAGACACCUGGCCCAUGGGAUCGUCCUUGGUCGGAGAUUUGUGCUGCUGGAGGUGCGUCACAAUGAACGUGCCUGGCAAACGGGGCAAGUGGUAAGAGAGAAGAUGUGCUUAUAGACAUGGUUGGGGUCUCCCUGUCCAGACAGCCCUGGAGCCCUGGUUCAGCACCCAUGGGGUGAUGUUUUUAAAAAGGAGCUUAUACACAUUCAAAUCGGUCAUCCAUCCAUAUGUGUUAUAAUAUGGUCCCAUGAUCCUGAGGGUGCGGGGACUGAUGAGACAGUGACGUCGUCUGCCUUUUGGGGAAAAGGACACUCCCUCCUCUGCUCGUGUUCACAAAGACCCUGAACCAGGAAAUCCCACGGUCUUGUCUGAACCACCACGUCCUCCAGGCUCCCCUGUUGGGUGGCCCUCUGCCUCCUGGGGGCAGGUGAGCCCUUGCAUGCCAGGUAGUUCUAGAGUGUGGAUGGAGUAUGUGUGAGUGUGUGUAUGUGAACAUAUAUGGUGUGUGUGUCUGUCUGAUGAUUCCCAUCACUGUCCCCAUCCUUUUCCCAGCAUCUGUCUCCUCAGGUCACAUUUUGCUGCAGUUUCACAGGCCCCCAGGCACACGGUCAUAAGGAGAGACCAGGCCAUAGCCCUCAGAAGUGAUCCAGUUGUGGGACACAACCGCCUUUACUGGAGCCAACAGGCCCUGGGCAGAGCCUGGUGCUUUGAAACAAUGUCUGAAACAGUGAUGCAGUAGACAAGUGGGGAUGCCUGAGGCUCGGUUCUCCCUGGAGAGGAUUGAUGGGUCGUCCUCCACACUGAGGAUACAGCCUGUGGAGCCAGGGGACUUGAACGUGUACCUCUGUGCCUGCAGCUUAGCCACAGCACGGCAU
Molecule: non-coding RNA, 2086 nt
Organism: Loxodonta africana (African savanna elephant)
Lineage: Eukaryota; Metazoa; Chordata; Mammalia; Proboscidea; Elephantidae
Source: the annotation of a RefSeq genome assembly